RNAcentral lists this ribosomal RNA (429 nucleotides) under Acidobacteriota bacterium. RNAcentral describes it as "Acidobacteria bacterium partial 16S ribosomal RNA". It matches the Rfam family "Bacterial small subunit ribosomal RNA", at positions 355 to 776 of the family's 1533-position model. The record is from RNAcentral. Lineage: Bacteria; Pseudomonadati; Acidobacteriota.
UGGGGAAUUUUGGACAAUGGGGGAAACCCUGAUCCAGCCAUCCCACGUGUGCGAUGAAGGCCUUCGGGUUGUAAAGCACUUUUGGCAGGAAAGAAACGUCAUGGGUUAAUACCCCGUGAAACUGACGGUACCUGCAGAAUAAGCGCCGGCUAACUACGUGCCAGCAGUCGCGGUAAUACGUAGGGUGCAAGCGUUACUCGGAAUUACUGGGCGUAAAGCGUGCGCAGGCGGUUCGGAAAGAAAGAUGUGAAAUCCCAGAGCUCAACUUUGGAACUGCAUUUUUAACUACCGGGCUAGAGUGUGUCAGAGGGAGGUGGAAGUCCGCGUGUAGCAGUGAAAUGCGUAGAUAUGCGGAGGAACACCGAUGGCGAAAGCAGCCUCCUGGGAUAACACUGACGCUCAUGCACGAAAGCGUGGGGAGCAAACAGG